GCAGUUCCUACUAUCUCUGAAACGACUGUGAACUAUCCGUUUUUGCAAAAGGGGGUUUGUUUGCAAAAUUGAUACAGAAAAAGUGUUACUGAUUACAUAGUUAGAGAAAGGCAUAUAUCGGUGGGUAAAGCACAGGUCAACAUGGUGCCGUGGCUCAGUCAGUUAACGUGGCUGUCGAGUAAACAGGCGAUCCUGGGUUCACAAUCCCAGUGGUGCCUGCACUUUGUGUUUACCGUUACAUGUUAAAACUUCUCUCGAUUGUUGAUCUCUAUCAUGAUAGAACUGGGCAUGCCUUUCUGGAGUUUGUUCAGAAUAACAGGGUGCAGCUGGACAAACUACAGCCUUAUUGGGGAGUGUUGUGUUAAUGGCACACACCAUGGGUUGAUCAGCCUCUUUGUCUCCUGAUGCUAUUCUUUCGCUUUACACCAACAGGUGAGACAUCAUCGCAAACGAAUGAUUGCGGUGGCGGUGCUUUUGCUUUGCUGGUGGAUUAGGAACUCUACUUCAAAGUUUAACAGCUCAUCGUAUUUUUAGGGAAGAAAUGUCUCCUUACCUCAGGCCUAAGGGACAGAGACAUUAUCCGAAUAAUAUUAGCCCAGUUCGAUAUUCUACAGUCGGUGGUGUGGGGGGUGGGAGAAGCCUCUCAGCAGCUCUACUGUCAAACACUCUCCGAAUUACGGACUUUUCAAAGAGCAGAAAUCGGAAAUGAGGUAUAUGGACAGACGGAGAGUGAGAGAACGUGAAAGGGCUGAGGUGGAUACAAAGAGACAAUGUGAGACAAAUAGGGAAACAUAUUGAGGUAGGCUGUGAAAGGAACCAAUUCUCCAUUUGACAUGUAUGCUAACUGACAUUAAAGGAAAGGAAAAGACAACCAUUUAAGCAGAACCUUUCCCAAACUCAGGACAAAAGAAGCAGCAUUAGAGCCGAUAAAGUCCUUUUAAAGUUGUAACGUUAUCGGUUGGAAACUAAGGAGAUGUUUUGAUAAAUAUGUUGAUACGGCAGAUAAAAGUGAUAAUUUCCCAGAAGUUAUAAUAUAGAAGUGCACAACUAACCUGGUUCUGACGAACAGACAGUUGAUCUGAAGCGUUAACUCUGUUUCUCUCCACAGAUGCUGCCAGACCUGCUGAGGUUGUCUGUCAAUUGCUGUUUCUGGUUCAGAUUCCCAGCAUUCUCAUUUCGCUGUUACAUGUCAGCUUGAAUAUCAUUUGGGAUAGAAUAGGAUAUCUCGCGUCUCUUCUCCUGCUUCUGAAAAUCAGUCAGGAGUGCCAUGGGCAGAUCAGAAUCACCCAGUGUUUGAGUUUUUACAACGUGGAAAAAAGACCAUUCGGCCCAUCGUGUCAGUGCGAGUCACCACGCAUCCAUCUAUUCUAAUCCCAGUUUCUAGCAUUUGGCCCACCGUCUUUUGUGUCCUUAAGUUUCAACGGAAAAUGUCAAUGAGAUUAUGCCUGUAAUCAACAAAUGGAACUGAAGUUUGAGAUGAUAAAACUGUUUUAAAACCCCCCUUGAAGAACUCAUCCUCAUGUUAAGCCACGGAUGGAGACACACAGACACAUCCCCUGAGAGUGGUGGGCACGUGGAAUGCGCUGCCGGCAGUGGUAGUGGAGUCAGAUACAUUAGGAACAUUUAAGCAACUCUUGGAGAGGCACAUGGAUGGUAGUAAAAUCUAGUGUGAGUGCAGUUUGAUCUUAGCAGGAUAAUAGAUCAGCACAAAUCGUGGGCCGAAGGAUCUGUACUGUGCUGUCCUGUUCUAUGAUUAUACGCGCUCUAUCUCCUUCACGUCCACUCUCCGUCGCCGCAUAUAAGGUUCCCUGAAAAAAGGCAACUUUACAUGCAACGCAAGAAAGUUCUCCUGACAAUGGGGACUGUUGCCAUGAGCUGCGAUAAGAAAUGGACAGUGAGCUGAAAUAGUCCCACACUCAUGUUGCUCAUGUGAAACUUUCAAUUUCCCAAACCCAGCGAUACACUUCAGCUGCUGGGAAUCGUAGAAAAACAGCGCUGGGUACACAUUCCUCGUUGGAAGCAACUGUCAGUUUGCAAGGCUAGAAAAGCUAUCAACUUCAGUCAAGCGAGGGAGGAUACAACAUUACAAUCUUCCAAUUCAAAGUUAGAUGCCUUAACCAUUACACCACUGGCUCAAUACAUAUUGCAGCCGGGUUCAUCCUGUCGACUUGUGAUGUUAACAGGGACAUUGGAAGGAAGAACAUUCACAGGUGAAUUACUAGCAAAUAUAAUUUCCGUCACUGCUUCACUUCGCUAAUCGGUGAAUUUCACCGGCAAAAGAAACAUAUUUGCUGUCAGAUGCCUGGUUCACUGGAACCUCUUUCUCUGGGACCUGUUUCUCUGCUGGAACUUUCUUCACAAUCACUGCGCAAUUUUAUGACCCGCUCCAGUGAAAUAUAUGUUUAUAUUUGAGUUAUGGUCUCUUCGAGUCAAGACCCUGAACAAAUUCAGUGAGAAAGCUCUGAUCGUUUCUAGCCAGGGCUCUGGAAUCAGACGAGUUGAACGAUGCCAUUAUUGGUGGCGCCCCUUCAUCAGACCUCAGCACCUCGAAACAAGCUCCUGUUAGCAUCAGCCUGUUAGCUCUGGCGUGAAGAUAGCUCUGGCAUGAAGAACAGGCACAAAUGUAAGUACAAAUCAGGUCACAAGGGUUAAUGCCAAGACCACUGUUCCCUGGUUAACAUUCAGAGUUUGCAUUGCUCAGGCCUGGUCAGCAAAUAAAGAUUGACUUCUCUUCUUGUGAAUUAUCCGAAUGAAAAUGAAUUCCUGGUAACACACAGAACACAAACGCUGAAUCUGCCAAAAGCAGACCAAUGAGAUUUUUGCCUCCAUGUUGAAGGACAAUGACAGGCGAUGUACGGGAAAACUGCCACUGCACAUCCCUCUCUAAGCUCCUCAUCAUUCUGAGUUCGAAAUAUGUCGCUGUUCGUUCAGUGUCGCUGGGUCUAAAUCCUGGAACUCCCUCCCUAACGGCAUCACGGCUGUUCCUACGUCCUAAAUAAUUCAAUUGUUUAAUAAUGUAACUCAUCACUGCCAUCUCUGCAGUAAUUAGGGAUGGGUAGUAAAUUCUGCCAUAGUGCGUGAUGUCUGACGAGUGCCAUAGCUUAGCUGAUUACCUCGUAAAUAGGCGAUUCUAAGUUCAAAUCCCACCCCAGUCGACGCUUUGCAUCCACCAUUCCUCGUGUAAACUUCCCUCCGAUAUGAUGUUUUUGAUCCAAUCAGCAAUGUCGAUGGAUCGAAUCGAGCAUUCCUUCCUGGAGUUUGGUUGAAAUAACAGAAUGAGGCAGGAUAAACUGCAUCCUUACUGGGGAAUGUUGUGGUGAUGGCACAGAUACCACGAGCCGAUCACUCUCAUUCUGUGCCUUCAGCAUUCAUUCACUUUACACCGACAGGGGAGACAUCAUUGCAAUCGUAUGAUUGUGGUGGCGUUGCUUUUUCUUUCCUACAGGAUUAGGAAGUCUAUUUCAAAGACUAACAGCUCAUUAUAUUUUGAGGAAAGAAAUAUCUCCUUACUUCAGACCUAAGGGACAAAUGCAUUAUCCGAAUAAUUCAGCCCAGUUCUAGACUCGACAGUCGGCGGCGGUAAAGGCCUCUCAGCACCUCCACUCUCAAAUAUUCUCCCAAUUUCAGACUUUUCAAAGAGCAGAAAUGGGAAGUGAGGGAUAUGUACAGAUGGAGAGUGAAAGGGGCUGAGGUGAAUACACAGAGAUAAAGAGAGACAUAUAGAGGCGCAUAUCAAGGUAGAUACUAAAAGGAUGAAUUCUCCAUUCGACUGGGCUGCUAACUAACAGAAAAGGAAAGGAAAAGGCAACCAUUUAUGCGAACCUUUUCACCACCUCAGGGUAAUGGAAGCAGUAGUAUUAGCCCUGAUAAAGUUCUUUUAAAGUUGUAAUAUUGACGGUUGGAACUUAAUGAGAUAUUUUGUUAAAUGUGCCUGUUCGACAGAUGAAAGAGCUAAUUUCCCCGUUGUUAUAAUAUGGAAGUGCAUAACUAACUUGGUUCUAACGAACGGUCAGCGGAUCCGAGGCGUUAACGUUGUUUCUCUCCACAGAUGCUGCCAGACCUGCUGAGGUUACCUGUCAAUUCCUGCUUUUGUUUCAGAUUCCGCAUUUCUCUGUUACAUAUCAGCUUGAAUAUAAUUUUGGAUAAAGCAGGUUACCUUGCGUCGCGUUUUUUUGCUUCUAAAAACCAGUCACCAAUGCUGCGGUCAGGAAAAUCUAGAAGAGAUGAAUUUGCAACUCCGAACCGGAAUUUGAACCCGGACUGUGGUGGUGAGAGCACAUAACCUUAACUACUAGACUAUCGAGGAACGGGAAAAGCAGGCGUGCUUCUUUUCAAGCUGACACUGCUUUUGCCGUUUCAUGUUUUGUUCAUUUUUUCUGCAGAUUAGUUUGUCAGUGUCUUCGAGUUUUCAGAGCUUGGAAAAAUACCAUUCUGCCCAUCGUGUCAGUGCAUGUUUUCAGGCAUCUAUCUAUUCAAGUCCCAGUUUCCACCCUUUGGCCCACCGCCUUUUGUGUUCUUAAGUUUCGAGAGCAAAUGUCAACGAGACUGUCCCUGUAAUAAAUGAAUAGGAAUGAAGUUUGUGAUGACAAAACUGUGUUAACAAGCCCUUGAAGAACACAUCCUCAUGUUAAGCCACAGAGGGAGAAACAGAGACAUAUCCCCUGAGAGUGAUAGAGGCCUCAGGAUUAUAUGCAUUUCAUUUCCUUUACAUCCACACACUGUCCCCGCACACAAGGUUCACCGUCAAAAGGCAGCUUUACGUGGAACAUUAGCAAGUUCUUCGGACAAUGGGAACUGUUGCCAUGAGCUGGGAUAUGAAGUGGACAGUGAGCUGAAAUUGUCCCACACGCUGCUUAUGUGCAACUUUCAAUUUCCAAACCCAGUGAUCCAAUCAGUUCACUUGCUGGUAAUCUGACAAAAACAACGUUGGGCACACAUUCCUCUUUCGAAGCAACUGUCAACUUGCAAGGGUGGAAAAAAAUCUGUCAACUUCACUGGAGCGAGGGACGAUACAACAUUGCAAUCUUCCAAUCCAAAGUCAGACGCCGUAUCUAUUACACUACUGGCCCAACACAUAUUGCUGCAUUUUUCAUCCUGUCGACAUGCGAUGUUAACAGGGACAUCGGCGGAAAGAGCGUUCACAAGGUGAAUAACCAGCAAACAUAAUCGCUGUCACUGCUUUACUUCAACGGCGUCCACUUGGCGAAGCUGUGAAUUUCACUGGCAAACGAAACAUAUUUGUCCUCAGAAGCCUGCUUCCCUGUAACCUGUUUCUCUGCUACCUGUUUCUUUGCUGGAACUUAUCGUCGUUUUAUUCACAGUCACUGCGCAAUUUUAUGACCCACUCCAGUGAAAUGCACGUUCAUAUUUGAGUUGUGGUCUCUUCGAGUCAAGACCCUGAACAAAUUCAGCGAGAAACUUCUGGUUGUUUCUAGCCAGGGCUCUGGAAUCAGAUGAGUUGAACGAUUCACCACAAUGACCCUGUUCCUCUUGUGAGGGUCCCUCUGUGUGUAUUAACGCGGGCCCUGAGAGGAUGAACCAAUUAUCUUUCUACUGUCAGUUUAAACAGGUGAAAUGAUCAGUUUUAAACCAAUGCAAGAGGAGAUUGUCUCUCUCUGUGCGUUUUCAGUAGAGAACGUUCUGCUGUGAACUGUCCGUGUUUGCAAAAGUGGGGAUUGAUUGAAAUUCUCACUGAGCAACAUUGACACAGAAAUAAAAAGUUACCCAUUGCAUGCUUAAAGAAGUGCACAUAUCACGGGAAAAGCCAAGAAAAAAUAGCACGGAGCGCUAUGGCUAAGUUGUUACUGUACUCUGUGUGCUAGACAUGCAGAUCUUGAGUUCAAAUCCUAACGGUUCCUUUGCUUUACGUACACCAUUCCUUGAUUACCCUGCUUUCAGAUUUAAACAGUAAUGCUGAUCAGUAGAACUGAACAAGUCUUCCUGCAAUUUGGUCGGAAUAACAGCGUGAGUCAGGACAAACAGUACCCUGACUGGGUAAUGCUGUGGUUGUGGCGCUAAUCACUCAUUCUCUGCUGUACUGUUCGUUCACUUUACACCGCUAGUAAAGACGUCUUUGUAA
Molecule: long non-coding RNA, 6079 nt
Organism: Rhincodon typus (whale shark)
Lineage: Eukaryota; Metazoa; Chordata; Chondrichthyes; Orectolobiformes; Rhincodontidae
Exons: 2
Source: RefSeq, a predicted model, not a curated record